Non-coding RNA from Peromyscus maniculatus bairdii (prairie deer mouse), 792 nucleotides. The record is from RefSeq and is a predicted model, not a curated record. Lineage: Eukaryota; Metazoa; Chordata; Mammalia; Rodentia; Cricetidae.
UUACCCACAGGGUGAGGGCUUAGCCUCCCAGGACUGUCCCCCAGCACACAUCCCAAGUGUCUCAACCCUUGGCUCACCAGCUCCAGUUAGGGUUUCCCACAAUUCCCUUCCUCUGACUCAGUGAUUUACUAAAAUGACCCUCAGAGCUUAGGGAAACACUUGGUCGACUAUUUAUUACUGGUUUACAAUAGAAAACACAACUAACAAGCAGUAAAAUGAUGGAAGACAGACAGGACAAGGUGUUCAGCUGGGUACCUGUGCCCUCCUGGGCACACACUCUCCCGGGCCAACAAGCCCAGAGCAAUGAGUCAGCUUAUUUCAGAAUUUUAUGGUAGUUUUGUGAUGCGGGCAUGACUGGUGACUGAACUCAGUCCCCAGUCCUGCCUGAGAGAGUAGGGGGUGGGGCUGAAAGCUGCAAACCUCCAAUCCUGUGACUGGAUCCUCUAGUGACCAUCUUAAUGUGCAUCCAGUCCUCUGUUCUCCAGCCAAGGAAAUCCACACUGUACUUGGCGAGGCAGCCAUAGAGAACCCAUCUCCUUGUCAGUGAUUUAGGACGACUUGAGCAAGUACAGCUGUUGCUAGAAUCCCUUCUCUGGGAGAAAAGCAAACAAUGCCUACGCCUCCUCCCGCCGACAAACCAAGCCCCUCCCACAGCCGCGGCCAAUCAGGGCACAACUGCCCACAACUGGUUGGGAGAUGUGGCUGGAUAUGCAGGUGAGGGUCCCAUGGUCCUCCCCACUCCUUUCUUCUAUGAGGGAAGUCCCCCAAAGAUGGUGGCAGUUGGACUCAGAG